This 2182-nucleotide ribosomal RNA is filed under the name Protocalliphora azurea. RNAcentral describes it as "eukaryotic LSU rRNA". It matches the Rfam family "Eukaryotic large subunit ribosomal RNA", at positions 28 to 1908 of the family's 3401-position model. The record is from RNAcentral. Lineage: Eukaryota; Metazoa; Arthropoda; Insecta; Diptera; Calliphoridae.
CUGAAUUUAAGCAUAUUAAUGAGGGGAGGAAAAGAAACUAACAAGGAUUUUCUUAGUAGCGGCGAGCGAAAAGAAAAUAGUUCAGCACUAAGUCACUUUGUCUUAAUGGCAAAUGUGAGAUGCAGUGUAUGGAAUGUCAAAUUUCUAGUAUGAGAAAUUAACGAUUUAAGUCCUUCUUAAAUGAGGCCAUUUACCCAAAGAGGGUGCCAGGCCCGUAUAACGUUAAUGAUUACUAGAUGGCAUUUCCAAAGAGUCGUGUUGCUUGAUAGUGCAGCACUAAGUGGGUGGUAAACUCCAUCUAAAACUAAAUAUAACCAUGAGACCGAUAGUAAACAAGUACCGUGAGGGAAAGUUGAAAAGAACUCUGAAUAGAGAGUUAAAUAGUACGUGAAACUGCUUAGAGGUUAAGCCCGAUGAACCUGAAUAUCCGUUAUAGAAAAUUCAUCAUUAUGAUUAUUAAUAUUUAUAAUAUUAUAAUAAUGGUGUGCAUUUUUUCUAUAAAGGACAUUGUAAUCUAUUAACAUAAAUUAAUAUUUAUCACAAGAUCAAGUUGCGUAAGUUUAUUCAAAUUAUUUUGCUUGCAAUUUAACAUAGAAUAAAUGCUCUUGAUUUGAUAAAGUGUUGAUAGAUUUAUUAUAUAUAGUGCUUAAAUAUUUAUAUUUUAUAAUAGCAUAUUAAUCAUUGAUUUUUAUGUUUAUUAUAUGCACUUAUAUGAUUAACAAUGCGAAAGAUUCAGGAUACCUUCGGGACCCGUCUUGAAACACGGACCAAGGAGUCUAACAUAUUUGCAAGUUAUUGGGAAUAAAAACCUAAUAGCGAAAUUAACAUAACUUAUAUGAUGGGAUUAGUUUUUAGCCUAUUUAUAGUCUAUUAAUUCAAUCCCGGGGCGUUCUAUACAGUUAUGUAUAAUAAUAUUUAUAUUAUUUAUACCUCUAACUAGAGCGUACCUUGAGCAUAUAUGCUGUGACCCGAAAGAUGGUGAACUAUACUUGAUCAGGUUGAAGUCAGGGGAAACCCUGAUGGAAGACCGAAACAGUUCUGACGUGCAAAUCGAUUGUCAGAAUUGAGUAUAGGGGCGAAAGACCAAUCGAACCAUCUAGUAGCUGGUUCCCUCCGAAGUUUCCCUCAGGAUAGCUGGUACAUUUAAAAAUUAUGUAAAAUAAUCUUAUCUGGUAAAGCGAAUGAUUAGAGGCCUUAGGGUCGAAACGACCUUAACCUAUUCUCAAACUUUAAAUGGGUAAGAACCUCACCUUUCUUGGUAUGAAGGUAGUGGUUGUGAUAUAAUGUGCCCAGUGGGCCACUUUUGGUAAGCAGAACUGGCGCUGUGGGAUGAACCAAACGUAAUGUUACGGUGCCCAAAUUAACAACUCAUGCAGAUACCAUGAAAGGCGUUGGUUGCUUAAAACAGCAGGACGGUGGACAUGGAAGUCGUAAUCCGCUAAGGAGUGUGUAACAACUCACCUGCCGAAGCAACUAGCCCUUAAAAUGGAUGGCGCUUAAGUUGUAUACCUAUACAUUACCGCUAAAGUAGAUGGUUUAUGUUCAAUUUCGGUUGGAUUAUAAACUUUGAAACUUUAGUGAGUAGGAGGGUACAAUGGUGAGCAUAGAAGUGUUUGGCGUAAGCCUGCAUGGAGCUGCCAUUGGUACAGAUCUUGGUGGUAGUAGCAAAUAAUCGAAUGAGACCUUGGAGGACUGAAGUGGAGAAGGGUUUCGUGUGAACAGUGGUUGAUCACGAGUUAGUCGGUCCUAAGUUCAAGGCGAAAGCCGAAAAUUUUCAAGUUAUAAUGAAAAGUAAGUAAAUAUUUACUUAGUAAUUAAACACUUGAAUAAUUUUGAACGAAAGGGAAUACGGUUCCAAUUCCGUAACCUGUUGAGUAUCCGUUUGUUAUUAAAUAUGGGCCUUGUGCUCAUCCUGGCAACAGGAACGACCAUAAAGAAGCCGUCGAGAGAUAUCGGAAGAGUUUUCUUUUCUGUUUUAUAGUCGUACUACCAUGGAAGUCUUUCGAAGAGAGAUAUGGUAGAUGGACUAGAAGAGCAUGACAUUUACUGUUGUGUCGAUAUUUUCUCCUCGGACCUUGAAAAUUUAUGGUGGGGUCACGCAAACUUCUCAACAGGCCGUACCAAUAUCCGCAGCUGGUCUCCAAGGUGAAGAGUCUCUAGUCGAUAGAAUAAUGUAGGUAAG